CAGCCGCCGCGGUAAAACCAGCACCUCAAGUGGUCAGGAUGAUUAUUGGGCCUAAAGCAUCCGUAGCCGGCUCUGUAAGUUUUCGGUUAAAUCUGUACGCUCAACGUACAGGCUGCCGGGAAUACUGCAGAGCUAGGGAGUGGGAGAGGUAGACGGUACUCGGUAGGAAGGGGUAAAAUCCUUUGAUCUAUUGAUGACCACCUGUGGCGAAGGCGGUCUACCAGAACACGUCCGACGGUGAGGGAUGAAAGCUGGGGGAGCAAACCGGAUUAGAUACCCGGGUAGUCCCAGCUGUAAACUAUGCAAACUCGGUGAUGCAUUGGCUUGAUGCCAAUGCAGUGCCGCAGGGAAGCCGUUAAGUUUGCCGCCUGGGAAGUACGUACGCAAGUAUGAAACUUAAAGGAAUUGGCGGGGGAGCAC
This 420-nucleotide ribosomal RNA is filed under the name uncultured Nitrososphaerota archaeon. RNAcentral describes it as "bacterial SSU rRNA". It matches the Rfam family "Archaeal small subunit ribosomal RNA", at positions 459 to 879 of the family's 1478-position model. The record is from RNAcentral. Lineage: Archaea; Thermoproteati; Nitrososphaerota.